RNAcentral lists this long non-coding RNA (439 nucleotides) under Mytilus galloprovincialis (Mediterranean mussel). Lineage: Eukaryota; Metazoa; Mollusca; Bivalvia; Mytilida; Mytilidae. The record is from RNAcentral.
GAUAAAAAUCUUCAUGUACAUUUCUGUUUUGAAGGUAUUCAUCACUUCCUGUUGCUAUUCAGUGGGGAGUAGACAAUGAGGACAGGGCAAGGGCCCAGUAUAUAGAACUGAAGCAAUGUAUGCAUGAUGAUUUCAAAGUUGAGACAGCCGGGUUAACUUUAAUUAACAUCUACUCUUUUCCUGGAGCAACUAGUGAUGGCAUGGUGAUUAAAGGAGAUACUGUUAGUCACCUAGAGAUUAAAUGUCCAUUUUUUCUUAAGGGAGUGAGGGUCAACACAUUGGAAAUUGACAUGAUUCUAGGAAUGAAUGACCCUAGUUUUUGAUGGCCCAACAUUGAACCCGUUUCACAAAUACUAUGCACAAGUCCAAGGUGAAAUGGCAAUUAAAGAACUUCCCUCGUGUGACAUUGUUCUGUGAACAGCAGAAAAAGAAACAAACA